AGAGUUUGAUCCUGGCUCAGGACGAACGCUGGCGGCGUGCCUAAUACAUGCAAGUCGAGCGAACUCUUGGUGAUCUUCGGAUCACCUGGGGUUAGCGGCGGACGGGUGAGUAACACGUAGGCAACCUGCCUGUAAGACUGGGAUAACUACCGGAAACGGUAGCUAAUACCGGAUAGGCUUCUCCCUCACCUGAGGGAGAA
Molecule: ribosomal RNA, 200 nt
Filed under: uncultured bacterium
Lineage: Bacteria
Description: partial 16S ribosomal RNA
Rfam family: Bacterial small subunit ribosomal RNA
Source: RNAcentral